Molecule: ribosomal RNA, 497 nt
Filed under: uncultured bacterium
Lineage: Bacteria
Description: partial 16S ribosomal RNA
Rfam family: Bacterial small subunit ribosomal RNA
Source: RNAcentral
GAUGAACGCUGGCGGCGUGCCUAAUACAUGCAAGUCGAGCGAACAGAUAAGGAGCUUGCUCCUUUGACGUUAGCGGCGGACGGGUGAGUAACACGUGGGUAACCUACCUAUAAGACUGGGAUAACUUCGGGAAACCGGAGCUAAUACCGGAUAACAUUUGGAACCGCAUGGUUCUAAAGUGAAAGAUGGUUUUGCUAUCACUUAUAGAUGGACCCGCGCCGUAUUAGCUAGUUGGUAAGGUAACGGCUUACCAAGGCGACGAUACGUAGCCGACCUGAGAGGGUGAUCGGCCACACUGGAACUGAGACACGGUCCAGACUCCUACGGGAGGCAGCAGUAGGGAAUCUUCCGCAAUGGGCGAAAGCCUGACGGAGCAACGCCGCGUGAGUGAUGAAGGGGUUCGGCUCGUAAAACUCUGUUAUUAGGGAAGAACAAAUGUGUAAGUAACUGUGCACGUCCUGACGGUACCUAAUCAGAAAGCCACGGCUAACUACGUG